GAGUUUGAUCCUGGCUCAGAUUGAACGCUGGCGGCAGGCCUAACACAUGCAAGUCGAACGGUAACAGAAAGCAGCUUGCUGCUUUGCUGACGAGUGGCGGACGGGUGAGUAAUGUCUGGGAAACUGCCUGAUGGAGGGGGAUAACUACUGGAAACGGUAGCUAAUACCGCAUAACGUCGCAAGACCAAAGAGGGGGACCUUCGGGCCUCUUGCCAUCGGAUGUGCCCAGAUGGGAUUAGCUUGUUGGUGGGGUAACGGCUCACCAAGGCGACGAUCUCUAGCUGGUCUGAGAGGAUGACCAGCCACACUGGAACUGAGACACGGUCCAGACUCCUACGGGAGGCAGCAGUGGGGAAUAUUGCACAAUGGGCGCAAGCCUGAUGCAGCCAUGCCGCGUGUAUGAAGAAGGCCUUCGGGUUGUAAAGUACUUUCAGCGGGGAGGAAGGGAGUAAAGUUAAUACCUUUGCUCAUUGACGUUACCCGCAGAAGAAGCACCGGCUAACUCCGU
Molecule: ribosomal RNA, 508 nt
Filed under: uncultured bacterium
Lineage: Bacteria
Description: bacterial SSU rRNA
Rfam family: Bacterial small subunit ribosomal RNA
Source: RNAcentral